UUGCUAAAGUUUAUAUGGAUAACCGUAGUAAUUCUAGAGCUAAUACAUGCUGAUACGCUCUGCGUAGUAUUUAUUAGACAAACACUAACGGGAGAGAUCCUGUGGAGGAAUCAUAAUAACUUAGCGAACUUCUUCGGAAGUGAAGCAUUCAAGUUUCUGCCCUAUCAGCUUUCGAUGGUAGUGUAUUGGACUACCAUGGCAAUGACGGGUGACGGAGAAUUAGGGUUCGAUUCCGGAGAGGGAGCCUGAGAAACGGCUACCACAUCUAAGGAAGGCAGCAGGCGCGCAAAUUACCCAAUCCUAAUUCAGGGAGGUAGUGACAAGAAAUAACAACGCGGGGCUUUGUCUCGUGAUUGGAAUGAGAUAAGUGUUAAAUACUUGUCGAUUAUCAACUGGAGGGCAAGUCUGGUGCCAGCAGCCGCGGUAAUUCCAGCUCCAGUAGCGUAUAUUAAAGUUGUUGCAGUUAAAAAGCUCGUAGUUGAAGUUCUGUUAGAAGGACUUUUGCGCUUCGGCAAUGAAGUCUUUCUAGCAUCCAUCUGAGUAACGGCCCUGGCAUUCAGUUGUUAUGGUCGGGAUCAGAUAGUUUACCUUGAGCAAAUUAAAGUGUUCCAGGCAGGCUUUGGCCUGAAUAGUCCAGCAUGGAAUAAUAGAAGAGGACUGAAUGUCAUUUAUUGGUGUUAUGGCGUUUAGUAAUGAUUAAUAGGGAUAGUUGGGGGCAUUCGUACUUAAUUGUCAGAGGUGAAAUUCUAUGAUUUAUUAAAGACGAACUUAUGCGAAAGCAUUUGCCAAGGAUGUUUUCAUUAAUCAAGAACGAAAGUUAAGGGAUCAAAGACGAUCAGAUACCGUCGUAGUCUUAACCAUAAACUAUGCCGACUAGAGAUUGGAGGUGCAACUCAAGUACUCCUUCAGCAUCUUCCGAGAAAUCAAAGUCUUUGGGUUCUGGGGGAAGUAUGGUCGCAAGACUGAAACUUAAAGGAAUUGACGGAAGGGCACCACCAGGAGUGGAGCCUGCGGCUUAAUUUGACUCAACACGGGGAAACUUACCAGGUCCAGACAUGGGAAGGAU
RNAcentral lists this ribosomal RNA (1066 nucleotides) under Stentor sp. bLPN3. RNAcentral's name for it is "SSU rRNA". It matches the Rfam family "Eukaryotic small subunit ribosomal RNA", at positions 121 to 1240 of the family's 1831-position model. The record is from RNAcentral. Lineage: Eukaryota; Ciliophora; Heterotrichea; Heterotrichida; Stentoridae.